GCCUAGCGAUAUGAUCUCGAGUUUGGUUUAUUAAAAUUUCUUAUCAUAUACUUUUAUGUUUGGGUUAAUAUAAGUUUCCUAGCGAAUUGAUUUUGGACUUACAAAUUAUUAAAUCGAUUCUUAUGCUGACACAUAAGGUAAAUUGACAUUUUAAUUAAAUGACACCUAAGCAAGCCUCUUUUCUAAUUAGAAACUCAAGGUUACAAAUUUUUAAAUAUUUCUCAAUUAAUAUAUAAGAGAUAAUUUUUUAAAUAUUUUUUUUUUUGAAAAUUUAAAACUUCCACCAUUAUACUUAUUGCAGUUUUCAUCAUUUUCAAAGUUUCUAUAAGUUACAAUUAUAUUCAAAUCUAAAGUAAAACUUAUAGAUUCUUUUUUAAUUUUAUUUUGGGUUCUAAUUAAUUUCUAGUAGAGAUAAUUUUGUUUUUCAUUUCAUGUAUUCUUUAAGAUUUUAAUACAAUGGAAGAUAAUUCAAGUCUUUCACUUUCUAACCUUAAAAUUAUGAGUGUUUUAAUUGGCACUUUCUAUUGAAUUUAUAUAACUAUGUUCCAAAUAGUUUAUUCAUAGGUAUAAAAUUAAUUAUGAUGUUAUUCUUAAUAAAAUUAUUAAAUAUGAUUGAAACCGGUUAGACCACAAUAAAUUAUGAAUCAAAAUCUUUUUCUAGUUCAGUAUCCGGUCCGGUUUUUUAUCAAAAUCAAAACUAUCGUAUCUACACUUUACUUAAUGGAACAGACCCCAUGCCAAAUAUAAUGGACUCACAAUAUUUUGACAUUAACGUCAUAUACUAAGUUCGUUCUAAUUAUUCAAAAUAAUGUUACGUACAAUAUUUAUUGUAUAUUUAUACUAUAAAAAAAAGAGUUUUAAUCUCUUCUCAUCGAGCCACGUCACGGAGAAAUAGGAAUCACCACGUGUCAUGCCAUAAAUCUUCUUCGGCUGUUUCGGUAAUGUGUUCUAAUGACUUUGGGCUUAGAAACAUUUGUUUCAUGGGCUGUUAACAUAGAUUUGGUCUGAGCCCAGUAAGUUGUCGUAUUUUUUUCUCUUUCACAGGAAAGUCCGACAAUGGAGCUCCUUCUUUGGUGGUGUCCGUCUUCUUCUGCGUCGAUUAGCUAGCAACUCUUCUCAUCUUCUUCUGAGAACUCGCACAGUUACGUAACUCCACUGCAUCCAUUCAUUAUCAUUAAAUUUACAAUUAACGCCAUCUCCCCAUUCAUUCCACGAUUUGACAAUCAAUAUGUCCCUUUUACCUUCCAGUCGGUGAAGCUGCAGAUAAACUCUUGCUGGAGGAUUAACUGCGCGGACCAACCAGGAUCGUAUUUAUAUCUCUUCGAAGACGGUUUAGUCAUCAUGUACUAAACUCGGUAAAACCAAGCUAGAUUCUUUCUUUACUUUUUUUUUCACCGUAAUCUAGUUCUUCUUUGUGAUUUUAACACCAUCAUUUCUGUAACAUCCGGAGUUGUGAUAUAUGAAAAGGCUUAAGGGAUUGAUCUGGCUACUUAUGUCACCAAAGUUGACUUACCUUUUCCGGAGCACAUCCUGAAAGAACUCCAGAGUUAAGCGUGCUUGAGCUUGAGUAGUGGAAGGAUGGGUGACCUAUCGGGAAGUGAUUCGUGAUAGCGUGCGAGUGAGACCAAAGCACGGAGAAAGGUUGGAUGGUGAUUGCAGGGUCGGUAAACAAUGAUUCGAGCCUUCAGAAAUUAACGGAUCGACCGUCGGAUGGGAUGGGGCCCACGGGCCGAGAGAGCGGGCGUGGGUGGCCCAUUAGCCGUGGACGGGUCGGGGUGUUAUAAGUGGUAUCAGAGCCAGGUUAGCCAUCUCGGUUCUGACCCGAGAGGAGUUUGCAGAAAAUAGAAAGCGUCCGUUUGGGGCCUAAGGUUGUUGUUUGAAACAAUAUUUGAAGGAUGAUCAAUAUCGUAAACAGUCCUCUGUCUCUGUAGAGCAUGAUCAAUAUGCUAAAGUAAGAAACCGGGAAGGAUGAUAUAGAAGGGGGGAAUAUCCGAAGGACUCACUAAAAUGUGUUUGGAGAAAUAAAAAGAAAGGUAUUUAUCUUACUGGUAUUCAGACUGAUGAACUUCAGAAGCAGGGACAAGCCUAUCGAGCAUUCAGCGAUUGUAUACAUAUCAUACUUUCUGGGACAAAGAGGUAAGAAUAUCACAAAAGAACUGGUUUUAGGUGUGAGAGAGUUUGGUGAGUAUGAAUGUUAAGCCAGCAAUCUGGGCUGUAUCACAGCGAUAGUAGUACGGAUGCUCCAUUCCUAUGGUGAAAUGAAUUUCAGAUUAAGUUGUUUAAGUAUUCCGAAGUUGUUGAAUCAGUUUGUACGCUUUGUUUUCAUUUGAAAUAAAUAAAUACAGUUUUUACUUCU
Molecule: long non-coding RNA, 2356 nt
Organism: Brassica napus (rape)
Lineage: Eukaryota; Viridiplantae; Streptophyta; Magnoliopsida; Brassicales; Brassicaceae
Exons: 2
Source: RefSeq, a predicted model, not a curated record